RNAcentral lists this non-coding RNA (29 nucleotides) under Mus musculus (house mouse). The record is from RNAcentral. Lineage: Eukaryota; Metazoa; Chordata; Mammalia; Rodentia; Muridae.
UAGAUACAUCUGUGUCUUUCCAUAAGCUC